UGAUAGGUUAAGAGCUAAUUAACUGGACGUCACCCACAGAACGAAGCACCUGGCUAACUCCGUGCCAGCAGCCGCGGUAAUACGGAGGGUGCGAGCGUUAAUCGGAAUUACUGGGCGUAAAGGGUGCGUAGGUGGUUGAUUAAGUUAUCUGUGAAAUUCCUGGGCUUAACCUGGGACGGUCAGAUAAUACUGGUUGACUCGAGUAUGGGAGAGGGUAGUGGAAUUUCCGGUGUAGCGGUGAAAUGCGUAGAGAUCGGAAGGAACACCAGUGGCGAAGGCGGCUACCUGGCCUAAUACUGACACUGAGGCACGAAAGCGUGGGGAGCAAACAGGAUUAGAUACCCUGGUAGUCCACGCUGUAAACGAUGUCAAACUAGCUGUUGGUUAUAUGAAAAUAAUUAGUGGCGCAGCAAACGCGAUAAGUGACAUCGUACAG
RNAcentral lists this ribosomal RNA (436 nucleotides) under uncultured Legionella sp. Its description in RNAcentral is "bacterial SSU rRNA". It matches the Rfam family "Bacterial small subunit ribosomal RNA", at positions 446 to 873 of the family's 1533-position model. Lineage: Bacteria; Pseudomonadati; Pseudomonadota; Gammaproteobacteria; Legionellales; Legionellaceae. The record is from RNAcentral.